Molecule: transfer RNA, 101 nt
Filed under: Marmota monax (woodchuck)
Lineage: Eukaryota; Metazoa; Chordata; Mammalia; Rodentia; Sciuridae
Description: tRNA.Ala
Source: RNAcentral
UGGGUUGUAGCUCAGUGGUAGAGUGCUUGCCUUGCAUUUGUGAGCACCAGAGUGCUUGCCUAGCACGAGUGAUGUACUGGGUUUGAUCCUCAGCACCACAU